GUUACUCUAUGGUACUAUCAUUUUAGAUUGUUGUGAUAAAAAAUAAAUAGCUGAAAUAGGCAGAUCUUCCUUUUACAACUUCACCUUUUAAAGUAGUACUGAGUGUCGGUAAAUGCAGUGAGUAAUACUAAAUAAGCAGUAUGGUGGUAAUAAUAUAACUUCAUUGACUUAUUUUGUUUAGGAGAAUCCAUCCUCAACAUACAGGAUUCUGAAGACUAUCCACCUUUAAGAUCACCAUCAUUUUCUAGAGUUUCAGAGCUAUCUCCCAAUGAUAGUGUUUCAGUCGCAUCAUGUAUGUCACAUAGCCACACUAUAUCACCUGU
Molecule: long non-coding RNA, 323 nt
Organism: Dermochelys coriacea (leatherback sea turtle)
Lineage: Eukaryota; Metazoa; Chordata; Testudines; Dermochelyidae
Exons: 2
Source: RefSeq, a predicted model, not a curated record